Molecule: ribosomal RNA, 253 nt
Filed under: uncultured bacterium
Lineage: Bacteria
Description: partial 16S ribosomal RNA
Rfam family: Bacterial small subunit ribosomal RNA
Source: RNAcentral
UACGAAGGGGGCUAGCGUUGCUCGGAUUUACUGGGCGUAAAGCGCACGUAGGCGGGUCGUUAAGUCGGGGGUGAAAACCCGGAGCUCAACUCCGGAACGGCCUUCGAUACUGGCGACCUCGAGUCCGGGAGAGGUGAGUGGAACUGCGAGUGUAGAGGUGAAAUUCGUAGAUAUUCGCAAGAACACCAGUGGCGAAGGCGGCUCACUGGCCCGGUACUGACGCUGAGGUGCGAAAGCGUGGGGAGCAAACAGG